GACGAACGCUGGCGGCGUGCCUAAUACAUGCAAGUCGAACGAACGGAUUGAGGAGCUUGCUCUUCAUGAAGUUAGUGGCGGACGGGUGAGUAACACGUGGGUAACCUGCCCUUCAGUGGGGGAUAACACUUGGAAACAGGUGCUAAUACCGCAUAAUCUUUUUUCUCGCAUGAGAGAAAAGUGAAAGACGCUUUUGCGUCACUAGAGGAUGGACCCGCGCUGCAUUACGCUAGUUGGUGAGGUAAUGGCUCACCAAGGCCACGAUGCAUAGCCGACCUGAGAGGGUGAUCGGCCACACUGGGACUGAGACACGGCCCAG
RNAcentral lists this ribosomal RNA (319 nucleotides) under uncultured bacterium. Its description in RNAcentral is "bacterial SSU rRNA". It matches the Rfam family "Bacterial small subunit ribosomal RNA", at positions 28 to 334 of the family's 1533-position model. The record is from RNAcentral.